Amphiprion ocellaris (clown anemonefish) is the source of this 1918-nucleotide long non-coding RNA. Lineage: Eukaryota; Metazoa; Chordata; Actinopteri; Pomacentridae. The record is from Ensembl.
CUCCUUCUCUCUGCGUCCUGGCUGGGAACCCUUUAAAGGACUCACUGGAGAUAUUUCCACUUAAAACUUAUUUUUCUGAUACUAAUUCCACUCCAGGCUCCAAAGUUCGCGGUUGCCAGUUGCAGGUGUUGCUGCUCUGUGGCUGGUAGGAUGCAGCAAUUGGCCAUGAAGGUCCUUUGUUCCACUUUGAUCCUUCUGUUGGUGGUUCCAUCUGUGUAUUCACAGUCAGAUUGUUCUCAGGCCCAGUCAUGUGACCAGUGCGUCGGAGACUUAUUUAUCAACGUGACAAGCUGCGUCUGGAGGCUUUGUCCAAAUGGUAAUGAUACAGGCACAUGUAUGACUGAUCAGGGAGAUGCAGCAGACAGCGGUACGGGCUGCGGCUGGACCAGGAUUUCUGAACUGUGCCCACUUGUCGAGGCUGCUGGUAAAAGUGACUCAGAUUGUGCUCAAGCCCAGUCAUGUGACCUGUGUGUCGGAGACCCCAUGCUCAACCCGACAGGCUGCGUCUGGAGGCUUUGUCCAAAUGGUAACGAUACAGGCGUGUGUGUGACUGAUAAGGGCGACGUAGCAGACAGCAGCAACGACUGCAGCUGGACCAGAGAUUCUGGUCUUUGCCCACUUGUCGAGACUGUUGCUGUUGUUGGAGUAGAUAAAGGUGACUCAGGUGAUGGACAAAAUCCACGCCCUCAGCUCUCCCAGGCCAAGUUCAGCAUGCCCAGCUUCAUAGGAGGCAUCGUGCUUGUUCUGAUCGUGCAGGCAGGCGUCCUCAUCGCCAUGCGCUUCCUGAAGUCCAAAGAGAAGACCAACUAUGACCCCAUAGAGUAGCCACAUACACGAAGGACAAACUGACAAGGCUGGACGACAGCAGAGCGGUGACUCAUCCAGUUGUGACGGCAAGUUUUUUUUUUUGUCAUUUUUGGUUUGGUCCUCAUAUGCUACCCUUGGGGAUGGGUGUAAUUAUAAGAGGAUAUUUUUCUUAAAAUACUGCAUUAUGUAAGAGUGUUUGUGCAUGCAUUCACUGCUGUCCUUGCAAACGGCAAUCAGAGAAACAAAAAGACUCUGAUCGUGACCAAACCCACAAUAAAUCUCCAUUGGCAGUAAUCUAAAUGUUUGUCCUUUUGCAAACAGAUCAAUUGAGCUUUUUUCAACUGUGUCCUUUUCAUAGUGCAGUGCAGUUAUGAGAAAAUAGUGAUCUAAUCCCAUGUAGACCUUUGGGUCAGACAAGGUUAUGGCAAGCAUUUAGAAUUUUUUUAAGAGCCCUAAAAUAGAUCAAAAAUGAGACACUGGAGCUGUCCAUCACCUAAUAGUACUUCUAUAUUUAAUGUGCAGAUUAAAAACUUCAUAGUGUUUUCUUGAAACCAGAAGUUUAAAUAUUUAUGCAGCUAAUACAUUUAUUUCUUAUGCUAACUUAUAGUGAGUGCAAUAAAUUAAUAAAGGCUCCAAAGAGGCCUCCUUUAAGACUCUUUGUCUCUUGGAAAAAAAAUUCUAACAUCUGAGGCCUCCAGUAUGGCUCUACUGUUACUCUACUUUAAUUUGGGUGUUCUUGUUUUGAAGUGUCAGUAGCUUAGAGUCUCUCUUUUUUCACAUAAAUGUGUUGUCAUAGAGGAGAAUUGUGUUUCCAUUCCUCACAUUUAUAACAUAUAGAUAUUAGAUUUAAACAUUUAAUACAGGUUAAAUAGUUCAAAGAGAUGUGAUCGUGUUAAUGCUGGUUAGAUAGUUGUUUAAUAUCAAUAAAUUUGAUUUGUGAUACCAUUAGAUUGCCUGAAUAAAUUGUGAAUGAACACCUGUUUUUCUCAGUGUGUAUUUGUGUUGUGUCUUGGAUUUUGUUGCAUGUAGAGCCAAGAUAAGAUAAAAGAAAACUUUAUUAUUCCUAAAUGAAAUUCUUUUGCCAGAUAUUGUGGAGAAAAUAAAAUGACAU